CCUACGGGCGGCUGCAGUGGGGAAUAUUGGACAAUGGGCGAAAGCCUGAUCCAGCAAUGCCGCGUGAGUGAAGAAGGCCUUCGGGUUGUAAAGCUCUUUUACCCGGGAAGAUAAUGACUGUACCGGGAGAAUAAGCCCCGGCUAACUCCGUGCCAGCAGCCGCGGUAAUACGGAGGGGGCUAGCGUUGUUCGGAAUUACUGGGCGUAAAGCGUACGUAGGCGGCUUUCUAAGUCAGAGGUGAAAUCCCACGACUCAAUCGUGGAACUGCCUUUGAGACUGGAUCGCUUGAAGAUGGGAGAGGUAAGUGGAAUUCCGAGUGUAGAGGUGAAAUUCGUAGAUAUUCGGAAGAACACCAGUGGCGAAGGCGGCUUACUGGACCAUUCUUGACGCUGAGGUACGAAAGCGUGGGGAGCAAACAGGAUUAGAUACCCUAGUAGUC
RNAcentral lists this ribosomal RNA (440 nucleotides) under uncultured Sphingomonadaceae bacterium. Its description in RNAcentral is "bacterial SSU rRNA". It matches the Rfam family "Bacterial small subunit ribosomal RNA", at positions 338 to 795 of the family's 1533-position model. The record is from RNAcentral. Lineage: Bacteria; Pseudomonadati; Pseudomonadota; Alphaproteobacteria; Sphingomonadales; Sphingomonadaceae.